GUUCUCAUAAGCUUUCCAACCAUAUAAAGAACUCAAAUUUUGGAGUUAAAAAAAGAAGUUACGAGUUUUUGAAAUUUGGAUGAUAAUCUGAAUUUUAAGCGUGAAACUAGGUAAAAUCCUGAAAUUCAUCACGUGAUAACUUUUUAUACAUUAAGUUUCAUGCUGUCCAUUUGGUAUGGUUGGAUAGAUCUUCUCAAGACCUUUCUAACGAUAUAAAGAUCAUUAAUUUUGGACUUGAGACGAGAAAGUUA
Molecule: long non-coding RNA, 251 nt
Filed under: Olea europaea (common olive)
Lineage: Eukaryota; Viridiplantae; Streptophyta; Magnoliopsida; Lamiales; Oleaceae
Description: long non-coding RNA (OEUR_LNC008517)
Source: RNAcentral